RNAcentral lists this long non-coding RNA (1171 nucleotides) under Cicer arietinum (chickpea). Its description in RNAcentral is "long non-coding RNA (CARI_LNC002994)". The record is from RNAcentral. Lineage: Eukaryota; Viridiplantae; Streptophyta; Magnoliopsida; Fabales; Fabaceae.
AUAACUCCUAAAAACUUUUUAAUUGAAGUAAGCAUAACAUUAGAUUUUUAUUAUAUAAAGUGAUCAAACAAUUGUUUACUUGUUGUAUAAAAAGGUAGAAAAAAAUGGCUGAAACUUUCAAGAUUGUUUACACUAUGAUCCUUUUAGUGUCUCUAUUUUUUCUUUUAGUUGCCGUUGAUGUUGAUGGUAAGUUCAUUCUCAUAUUUUCACGUUAUACAAAAUCUUUCACAAUUUUUCACUAACAUUUCUUUAUUCUUACUUUACAUUAUAGCAUAUAAGUGUAAGUCAGACGAUGAUUGUCAAAAAUAUAAGUGUCCCCCUCUUAAAAUCAUGUAUUGCGAUGAAGGUUAUUGUAAAUGUUCAAGGUAACAGUUAAAUUAAAACAUAUAUUUCUAUUAUAUAUGUUAAAGCCUUUAAUUUUCAUUGUUCAUCGUAAUGUUGUUUAUCUUAUAUAUGAUUUCUCUCACACUUUCAUAUAUUUCUUUCAAACUUUCAAUUUCUUUAGUAGUUUCUUAAUCAUGUAAAAAAAUUAUUAUGACUUAGGUGUUCGAUAUAUCAUCUAAGAAACUUAGGAGCGAGGAAAUUUAAAUUUCAUGGGAUGAGAGUAAUUUACUGACUUUUACUUGAUAGUAUCGUCUUUGUGAGAGUGCAUGUACAUAUGAAUACAUAUAAUCUAGAAGGGUGUUGCCCUUUGCAUAUAUAUGAUAUUGAGCAUAACCUCUCAAUCAAAGUUUUCCUACAUUAUCUGGGCACCGCCUGAAUUUCAAGGAGUGCAUUUUGAGCAUUGAAAGAUCAUCCAUUUAUAUUGUGUGAUAUUAUAUUGUCGUGAUGUUUGCAAUCAUGCUUUAUAAGAUUCAUGGAUGCAUGUUCAUCUAUUUUUGACUUAUUCAUUUUAUAUGAUGUAAGAUCUACUUACGUCUUCUUUGUGUCUACCCUUAUUAUAUAUUUGUAUGCAGGCCACAUUAAAAUGGGUUAUGACAAGAAAUCAAUGGAGCUUAUCUUGUGAAUGUGGAGUACUAGAGGCUUGUGGCUAGCUUUAUUUUGAGUUUUUUCAAUAUUGUUUUUAUAUUAUUUUAUGAGUGGAGAUCUGUUUACUUCAACUGUAAUUUUAAAUCUAAUUAUUACAUUUAAAACUAAAUACUAAUAAGUACUUAAAUUUUAUUUUUAAUUA